ACAGCAGUCGCCGCGGUAAUACGAAGGGGGCUAGCGUUGUUCGGAUUUACUGGGCGUAAAGCGCACGUAGGCGGAUCGAUCAGUCAGGGGUGAAAUCCCAGAGCUCAACUCUGGAACUGCCUUUGAUACUGUCGAUCUGGAGUAUGGAAGAGGUGAGUGGAAUUCCGAGUGUAGAGGUGAAAUUCGUAGAUAUUCGGAGGAACACCAGUGGCGAAGGCGGCUCACUGGUCCAUUACUAACGCUGAGGCACGAAAGCGUGGGGAGCAAACAGGAUUAGAUACCCCCGUAGUCCCUGUCUCUUAUAC
This 305-nucleotide ribosomal RNA is filed under the name uncultured bacterium. RNAcentral's name for it is "partial 16S ribosomal RNA". It matches the Rfam family "Bacterial small subunit ribosomal RNA", at positions 508 to 807 of the family's 1533-position model. The record is from RNAcentral.